This 645-nucleotide small RNA is filed under the name Histoplasma capsulatum var. duboisii H88. RNAcentral describes it as "Histoplasma capsulatum H88 hypothetical RNA". Lineage: Eukaryota; Fungi; Ascomycota; Eurotiomycetes; Onygenales; Ajellomycetaceae. The record is from RNAcentral.
AAUGUCCUGGGCUAUCUGAGUAUGUGUGCCUUCUUCCAAGAGCUCGACUUCUUGCGCUUGCGUGGCAGUGGCCGCGGCAGGUUGUAUCAGCGUCUGGAUCGCUUUGAUGAGAGCUAUCUGAGUUGGGUUUGCGCAACAAGAAGCCGAGCCAGACAACUCAGUCAUCUUAUCUGCAAGCCUCAACCAUCCAAUUGAAUCAAGAAGACUGGUAGACUGUUCAGCCAUGUUUCUAGAGUGACCUAGGACAAGCUCAGACAGCAGGCUAUUCUCUGGUCAGCCAGCCAUAAACAGUCGUAGAGUGGGUUGCGUGCUCAGGAACUCUCCUCAAUAUAACGACAGCAACGGGAAUGAGAGACUCACUUGGAGCAGAUGGAUUGCAGUAAACCAAGUCUGGCGCGUCAUUCUUGUGGUUGAUUAAAAUCUGCGUGAAACGAAACCAGACACCUGAGUUACUGCUGCACGUCCUGCGCUUAGAAAACUUAUUCAUUUAGUUGUCUAUUGCCUUCUUGCAAAUGGGGGAGUGAACAGAAAUCGACAGAAACCGAUUGUCGGUGUAAUUACCGGGCCGGGUUUGGCGUGCUAUCUGGCUUGAUCUUCCACCAAGAAUAACCCCUUACAUCACAAUGGAUAUCUCCAAGUACGCGG